GGACUACACGGGUAUCUAAUCCUGUUUGAUCCCCACGCUUUCGUGCCUCAGCGUCAAUAAUACCAUAGUAAGCUGCCUUCGCAAUCGGUGUUCUGUGACAUAUCUAUGCAUUUCACCGCUACUUGUCACAUUCCGCCUACUUCUAGUAUAUUCAAGUUCAUCAGUAUCAAAGGCACUGCGACAGUUAAGCUGCCGUCUUUCACCCCUGACUUAAUAAACCGCCUACGCACCCUUUAAACCCAAUAAAUCCGGAUAACGCUUGGAUCCUCCGUAUUACCGCGGCUGCUGGCAC
Molecule: ribosomal RNA, 292 nt
Filed under: uncultured bacterium
Lineage: Bacteria
Also listed under: 1 other name
Description: partial 16S ribosomal RNA
Source: RNAcentral